CAUACAUGAAAUGAAACAUCAACCUCGGCCUCCUGCCACUGGUCCGUAUUAAGUCUGGCUUGAGUCUACCUGGAUGCUCCAACAUGAACAUCAUAACUGAGGUCAUCAAGUCUCUCGGUGAUAGGUAUCAUCCUCUUUAGCCUUGUAGGUUAAGAUUCCUUUCAAUCUCCCUGUAGUGACUCCAUCAAUCUUGAGGUCUUAGUCCUCAUACUCGAUGGAUGCAUCAUGACAUGCACUUACUUACUUUUAGUACUCUAAGUCAUCACCACAAGCACUUCUUCAAAAAGCGGUUCUUGAUCUCUGGUCCUCC
Molecule: long non-coding RNA, 310 nt
Filed under: Amborella trichopoda
Lineage: Eukaryota; Viridiplantae; Streptophyta; Magnoliopsida; Amborellales; Amborellaceae
Description: long non-coding RNA (ATRI_LNC001031)
Source: RNAcentral